Molecule: long non-coding RNA, 4750 nt
Organism: Cephus cinctus (wheat stem sawfly)
Lineage: Eukaryota; Metazoa; Arthropoda; Insecta; Hymenoptera; Cephidae
Exons: 4
Source: RefSeq, a predicted model, not a curated record
UUGAUCCACAAUUAAAUAGUCACGCAGUCGUGCGCGAAAAGUGGAUUUAGAGGGAGCAUCUCUGACAGUGGUUGGCAAGGAGUUCCAGAAGAGAGCUCCAUUAACGUGAAUUGCGUGUCUAUAACAUUCAGUGCGAUGUAUGGGUACGAUAAGGUCAUCGUCCCUACGUUGAGUUUCGCGAGACACAUGCGUAAGAGGUGAAGUGACAAGUGCAGAUCUAAGCCAAUUUAACUGGCGGUAAUAAGGCGUAACAUGCUCAUCCAUACGCAAGUCGAAGAUAAAACGCACGCACGAGUUUAAUGCCACUUGCACCUUUUGCGUCUGACCACUAGUUCCGCAGCCAUACACCAGUAAACAGUAGUCAAUGAUGGGAAAGAUAAGAGCGGUCACAAGUAAUAUUCUUAGACUCACAUUGAGGGCAGCACGAUUUGCCUUAAGGACGUACAGCGUUUUGUUUACCCUCCUGCAUACAUCCAGCGUGUGGUCGGUCCAAGUUAGAGUGCUUUCUAUUGUAACUCCAAGACAGCGCACGGAUGGAACGAAAGGAAUGGUCCUGGAAUCUACGCGCAGACAAGGUACCAAAUCCAUAUUUAGCUUAUUAAGAUACCUAGGUGAACCAGCAAUCAUCGAGUACGUCUUAGAAGAAUUGAAACUAAGACAGUUUGAAGCAGCCCAUUCAGUGAUUGCAUUUAUGUCGUUCUGCACCGUCGAGAGAGCGUCUAACAGGUUUUUAGGUUUACAGUGUAAGUAUAUAAGCAAGUCAUCAGCAUAGAUGGAGUAUGAACAAUAAGAGAUAACAGUUGACAAAUCCUUUAGAUACAAUGCAAAUAGUGAGGGUCCUAACACCGAGCCUUGAGGUACUCCCGAAGAAGCCCUCAGGAAGGAGGACGAGGCUCCAUUCGGACCUAUAACAGCCUGCAUUCGAUCUGCAAGAUAGGAUGCAAACCAUCUUCUCACCGACCACGAGAAUCCAGCCUGACGCAUGACCUCAAGCAGCUUAGGAGGACAAAUCGAGUCAAACGCUUUGGUUUUUAUAUCAUGAUUCAUCCACGGUGUCGGAGCUCGGCGUGGUGUAAAAGAACGUACUGGUGCAAGUUCGUCCAAGGUGUCCUCAAGAUAUUGAUUUAAAAUUGCAACUUGUGAAUCCACAGAGGAAGCAGAAAGAAACCUCAACCAGUUACAUUGCUCCAACUUGGUAUGAAGGAUAGUUCUUUCCACAGCUUUUAAGUUACGAUCGUGAGCAGACAUGAAAGGAAUUGAGGACUGCCCAAAAGAGGUGACCUUGGAAGAACUAUCUACCAUACAUAAGUCAAGCCAAGUAUGCGCCCCGCGAGUAUGAUGAGUAGCAGUAUGCUGCACGAGAUGCAAGUUGUUUCCAGCAAUAAAGGAGUGCAUGUAAGAGCUGUCGAAGGACUGGACCAGCAAAUCAGCAUUGAAGUCACCUAUGAUAAGAAUAUUUGAAUAAGCAUGAGAAAGACGAGCAUAGAUUUGUUCAAGAUCACUAAGAAAACCCACUUUCGGAGGUCGAUAGACAGCUCCCAAUAGCAUUCCUAUAGUACCGGGAAACUUAAUUUCUAGAAACAGAAACUCUGGCCAUAGAGAUAGAGAGAGAUAGAGAGAGGGGGAGGGGGAGGGGAGAGAUAACGAGGAAUAUUGCCUUGAGGGCCUAUUGGACCAAGCGUUACGCUUUAAUUUGCUAUUUUUGUGGUGAGAUCUUUCGCUUUCCUUAAACUUUUCUGAUUUUUGUGUAUUGAAGAUUAUAGAAACCGUCCGUUUAGCCGGUGACGAAUUUUCCUUGCCGUUAUCGGGCGAAUGUCUUUCCGCCUAGUAUCAUAUAAAGGACGAUAGUGCCGUUAUUAUUUAUAUUUUUGAGUUUCCGAUUUUGCGCUUUUCUGUAUAAUUUGGUGUUUGCUAUUCAUUCGUAACUAAAGUAUUUCUGGAAUCUUCACCUAGUGUACACGGGGGAAUCUGUCUGCCAGAGUGGGUGACCCCGGAUUAACCGGCUUGGUUGUUCUAUAGCCAGAUUCUCGCGCGGCCGAUUAUAUCAUUUUGUCAAUUAUUCUAAGAUAUCGUUUACCGACAAAUUUUUGUUCUAUUUUCUGCAAAAGUAUUAUGAGACUUCCAAACCCUAAGUUCCGUUAAAUUUAGUGGCGAGCCCACGCCGUCUUUUCUUUACCUAAUCGGAAUCGUAGUGUUUCGCCUGUUUUCCUCUUUCAAAGUGAAAUAAGUUAAACGAAAUUCUUUUCUUGUUUUCGCAAAUCUUUUGUGGCCUUUGCUGAAGUGUGCUUCCGAAUUUCAUAGUUCUACUUUCGUAUGCGAUAUCCGUUCUGAUUUCUAUGAUUUAUUGAGGAUGUACUGUAUCUGAUUAUCGUUGCCAAACAUUAUUAUAAUUUCGUCUUUAUAUUCGCGGUGGAACAUUUGUGAAUUUUGCGUAUCGUACACGUCUUUCCGACGUCGCGCGCUAGCCGCCCUCCGAGGCGACCUUGCCUGUUGAUGUUUCUCGACGUCGCGCCUUCGGCCGAUUUCGAAAUUGUACUACCCGUUCCGAGAACGUCUUUCCGCUGCAACCAUAAUGAAAUACUCGUUACAAUAUUCUAUAUUUUUCUGACUGUGAUAUUUUUUCUGUGCCAUAUCCUGUAUUAAUUUAUUGUAAUAUUUCUAUUUAUUGUGGUACUUUUCGUGCCCGCGAUUUUCGAACCGGUGUUAGCGAACCCGCGUGUAUUAUCCUUUGUCGGAUUCCUUUGUAGUUAUAAUUUCUUUUACGUAACUCUUUCGUAUUACGGUUGUCGACCGCGGUUAUAAUUUCGCGCGUGCGAGAAUUGGAACCGCGCAGACCGUUCUGCUGCCGUUCCGACUUUUGUCAUUAUCGUUAUUUGGUUAUUUUAGUUCAAAACGAAUUUGUUAAUUUAUUUCAAGUAAUUCGAUUAUUCCGACGGCAUUAUUUUCUGUGCCUACCGUUUCUAGGAAUAUCGAGCCUGCGUGCCCGCGUCUUAAUCACGUGCGCGCUCACGCAUAGCGCCUUCGCUGCCGAGAUUUUCCGAUAAGCAGACUGCGACUAUAGUCUCCUGAAUUAUAUGUAGUGCUUCUUAUUUCUUUUGCAUUGUAUAGCUUCCGAGUUUGCAUACCGCUCAUUGUGAGUUAAUUUUAAGACUCUUGUUUAAUUAUGCUUGGUUUUCGCUCGCACCCUCAGUAAUGCUUGCGUUAAUGCUUUUGUAAUUUUGCUAUUGAGUUUAUUGACUAUUUGGAAUUUUGUUUUGCUCAAUACAGCUCUGGUGCGUUAACUAUUUAAUUCGGAUUAUUUUCUUGUAGUUUUUCGUAUCACGUUCCUAUAAGUCCUUGGCUGAGUUCUUUCCUUCCUUACCUCUUGAACGCCGCGACGCUUCCGACAAGCUAGCCUCCGAAGCGGCGUAACGUGGGACGUAUAGUGGUCUAAUUUAGUACUAUCUUUUGAGUUCCGGGUAACCUUUAAGUUUAGUUACGUUCUCUAUUCUUUUUCUUGGCCGUGGAGCCCCUAUCUGUUUUGAGUGGCUGUGGUGCCCCUAUAUGCUUUUGCGUGGCCGUGGUACCCUUACAUUUAGUUCGCCUGGUGGCUUAUUUAGUUUUAGUUCGCCUGAUGGCACCUUUAGGUAUAGUGUGCCUGGUGGCAAUCGGUUACCCCGGACUAAUUAUCUCUCGCGAACUUUAUGGUAUCGACAACGAGCCUAGAGCUCGUGGUGCUCCUUUGAGGGUACCUGGCGCCCAACAACUUUUUCGAGUUUGCCGACACCACUUGCACUCCCGAUUUUCGUUAGUGUAGAGUUCCGUUUUGUUGACGACUGAGAAUAUCGUCGCAAAAUAUAGGUAGGUAAGUAGUGCAGUGUUUAUUUAGGUACCUAUACUAAUGAUGAAACGGCAUUACGAGAAAAACGAAACGACCACAUGAUAAAAAGGCAUUACGAGAAAUGGAAAGAUUAAGACGAUUGUCUUAAUCCCCACAUUAGAUUCUGACUUCGUGACAAUGGGACCACCUCGAGAGGAUACCCUUUUAAACAAAAAAAAGAAUUUUCAAAAUCGGUCCACAAUUGGCGCCGAAAUCGGUGAACAUUCAUAAAAAAAAAUACAUACAGUCGAACAUAGAACCUCCUCCUUUUUGAUUGAAGUCGGGUAAAAAAUAUAUUAUAACAGAACUGCAAACAUUCAUUUUUAUGGAAAAGCUAUAAUAAAAAUAUAUAAUUAACUUUUUCUGUAAUAAAAAACUUAAAAAUUUAAAGACUGAAUUUAGCUUUAUUACUUUUUUCAGUUGCCAAAUCGAUUAACUCCACCAGUCACAUAAAAACUGUGACAUUACUGACGAUUAUUUUUUAACUAUUCUUUCUUAUUAAUUUUAUAUACCGUUAGAUGAAAGCCAUAUCUGUAUUUAUGCAUUUUACAUUAUAUAUUUGAAUUUAUAUUAUAACAGGAAUUUUAAAAAACAAUAUACAUUACUUCAUCGCAUUUCUCAACUUUUUGUUUUAUGGAGUUAAUCGAUGUGUGCACUCAUGAACUCAGUGAACUCAGUGAACGGCUCAUAUAGAGAAAAUAUAUGAGGAAAAUAACCAAUCAUUUGUUAAGGAGUGGAUCUACAGGAAAGUAUUUAAUACUCAAUUUAAUUUAAAUUUCCAUGCUCCUCGAAAGACACGUGCCAAAAAUGCGAUAUACUGAAGGGAAAAGUCGAAGCAUGCAGUAAUGAGGAUGAGACGUUACAUCUUACAAGGAAACCCCCCCAACCCGA